This 497-nucleotide ribosomal RNA is filed under the name uncultured bacterium. RNAcentral's name for it is "partial 16S ribosomal RNA". It matches the Rfam family "Bacterial small subunit ribosomal RNA", at positions 28 to 507 of the family's 1533-position model. The record is from RNAcentral.
GACGAACGCUGGCGGCGUGCCUAAUACAUGCAAGUUGAGCGAUGAAGAUUGGUGCUUGCACCAAUUUGAAGAGCAGCGAACGGGUGAGUAACGCGUGGGGAAUCUGCCUUUGAGCGGGGGACAACAUUUGGAAACGAAUGCUAAUACCGCAUAACAACUUUAAACAUAAGUUUUAAGUUUGAAAGAUGCAAUUGCAUCACUCAAAGAUGAUCCCGCGUUGUAUUAGCUAGUUGGUGAGGUAAAGGCUCACCAAGGCGAUGAUACAUAGCCGACCUGAGAGGGUGGUCGGCCACAUUGGGACUGAGACACGGCCCCAACUCCUACGGGGAGCAGCAGUAGGGGAUCUUCGGCAAUGGGCGAAAGUCUGACCGAGCAACGCCGGGGGAGUGAAUAAGGGUUUCGGAUCGUAAAACUCUGUUGGUAGAGAAGAACGUUGGGGAGAGUGGAAAGCUCAUCAAGUGACGGUAACUACCCAGAAAGGGACGGCUAACUACGUG